CCUACGGGCGGCAGCAGUGAGGAAUAUUGGUCAAUGGCCGGAAGGCUGAACCAGCCAAGCCGCGUGAAGGACGAAGGUGCCAAGCAUUGUAAACUUCUUUUGUCAAGGGACAAAAUCAGGCUCGAGAGCCUGACCGAGGGUACUUGAAGAAAAAGCAUCGGCUAACUCCGUGCCAGCAGCCGCGGUAAUACGGAGGAUGCGAGCGUUAUCCGGAUUUAUUGGGUUUAAAGGGUGCGUAGGCGGACUGUUAAGUCAGCGGGUAAAGGCCCGGGCUCAACCCCGGCGAGGCCGUGGAAACUGGCUGUCUUGAGAUGGCGAGAGGCAGGCGGAAUGCGUAGUGUAGCGGUGAAAUGCUUAGAUAUUGCGCAGAACUCCGAGUGCGAAGGCAGCAUACCGGCGGGGAUCUGACGCUGAGGCACGAAAGCGUGGGUAUCGAACAGGAUUAGAUACCCCUGUAGUC
RNAcentral lists this ribosomal RNA (460 nucleotides) under uncultured bacterium. RNAcentral describes it as "partial 16S ribosomal RNA". It matches the Rfam family "Bacterial small subunit ribosomal RNA", at positions 338 to 795 of the family's 1533-position model. The record is from RNAcentral.